Molecule: unclassified non-coding RNA, 271 nt
Filed under: Verruciconidia persicina
Lineage: Eukaryota; Fungi; Ascomycota; Sordariomycetes; Hypocreales; Bionectriaceae
Description: Acremonium persicinum sequence contains 5.8S rRNA gene
Rfam family: 5.8S ribosomal RNA (bases 1-53)
Source: RNAcentral
GAACGCACAUUGCGCCCGCUAGUAUUCUGGCGGGCAUGCCUGUCUGAGCGUCAUUUCAACCCUCGCCCCCGGCUUUUGCUGGGAGCGGUGUUGGGGAUCGGCCGCCCGUCACUGGGAGGCCGGCCCCGAAAUAGAGUGGCGACCACGCCGUGUGCUCCUCUGCGUAGUAGUAAAUCACCUCGCAGGCGGACAGCGGUGCGGCCUGCCGUAAAACCCCCAACUCUUUCUAUGGUUGACCUCAGAUCAGGUAGGAAUACCCGCUGAACUUAAG